AGAUUGAACGCUGGCGGCAGGCCUAACACAUGCAAGUCGAGCGGUAGAGAGGUGCUUGCAUCUCUUGAGAGCGGCGGACGGGUGAGUAAUGCCUAGGAAUCUGCCUAGUGGUGGGGGAUAACGUUCGGAAACGGACGCUAAUACCGCAUACGUCCUACGGGAGAAAGCGGGGGACCUUCGGGCCUCGCGCCAUUAGAUGAGCCUAGGUCGGAUUAGCUAGUUGGUGAGGUAAUGGCUCACCAAGGCGACGAUCCGUAACUGGUCUGAGAGGAUGAUCAGUCACACUGGAACUGAGACACGGUCCAGACUCCUACGGGAGGCAGCAGUGGGAAUAUUGGACAAUGGGCGAAAGCCUGAUCCAGCCAUGCCGCGUGUGUGAAGAAGGUCUUCGGAUUGUAAAGCACUUUAAGUUGGAGGAAGGUUGUAACCUAAUACGUUGCAACUUUGACGUUAACCGUACAGAAUAAAGACACCGGCUAACUUCGUGCCAGCAGCCGA
RNAcentral lists this ribosomal RNA (498 nucleotides) under uncultured soil bacterium. Its description in RNAcentral is "bacterial SSU rRNA". It matches the Rfam family "Bacterial small subunit ribosomal RNA", at positions 26 to 518 of the family's 1533-position model. The record is from RNAcentral.